RNAcentral lists this ribosomal RNA (490 nucleotides) under uncultured bacterium. RNAcentral's name for it is "partial 16S ribosomal RNA". It matches the Rfam family "Bacterial small subunit ribosomal RNA", at positions 30 to 507 of the family's 1533-position model. The record is from RNAcentral.
AUUGAACGCUGGCGGCAGGCCUAACACAUGCAAGUCGAACGGUAACAGGAAGAAGCUUGCUUCUUUGCUGACGAGUGGCGGACGGGUGAGUAAUGUCUGGGAAACUGCCUGAUGGAGGGGGAUAACUACUGGAAACGGUAGCUAAUACCGCAUAACGUCGCAAGACCAAAAAGGGGGACCUUCGGGCCUCUUGCCAUCGGAUGUGCCCAGAUGGGAUUCGCUAGUAGGUGGGGUAACGGCUCACCUAGGCGACGAUCCCUAGCUGGUCUGAGAGGAUGACCAGCCACACUGGAACUGAGACACGGUCCAGACUCCUACGGGAGGCAGCAGUGGGGAAUAUUGCACAAUGGGCGCAAGCCUGAUGCAGCCAUGCCGCGUGUAUGAAGAAGGCCUUCGGGUUGUAAAGUACUUUCAGCGGGGAGGAAGGGAGUAAAGUUAAUACCUUGGCUCAUUGACGUUACCCGCAGAAGAAGCACCGGCUAACUCCGUG